This 348-nucleotide ribosomal RNA is filed under the name uncultured Pantoea sp. RNAcentral's name for it is "bacterial SSU rRNA". It matches the Rfam family "Bacterial small subunit ribosomal RNA", at positions 1032 to 1380 of the family's 1533-position model. Lineage: Bacteria; Pseudomonadati; Pseudomonadota; Gammaproteobacteria; Enterobacterales; Erwiniaceae. The record is from RNAcentral.
AGACAGGUGCUGCAUGGCUGUCGUCAGCUCGUGUUGUGAAAUGUUGGGUUAAGUCCCGCAACGAGCGCAACCCUUAUCCUUUGUUGCCAGCGAUUCGGUCGGGAACUCAAAGGAGACUGCCGGUGAUAAACCGGAGGAAGGUGGGGAUGACGUCAAGUCAUCAUGGCCCUUACGAGUAGGGCUACACACGUGCUACAAUGGCGCAUACAAAGAGAAGCGACCUCGCGAGAGCAAGCGGACCUCACAAAGUGCGUCGUAGUCCGGAUCGGAGUCUGCAACUCGACUCCGUGAAGUCGGAAUCGCUAGUAAUCGUGGAUCAGAAUGCCACGGUGAAUACGUUCCCGGGUC